Molecule: long non-coding RNA, 983 nt
Organism: Pteropus alecto (black flying fox)
Lineage: Eukaryota; Metazoa; Chordata; Mammalia; Chiroptera; Pteropodidae
Exons: 2
Source: RefSeq, a predicted model, not a curated record
CAUGCCUAGAACCAAAAAUUAACUUUUCCCUGGACUCUGAUCCUGAGCCAUGCUUUCAAACUUCACCAUGAUUGGGACUAGAACAUCUAGGAGAUUCUGUCUACCAUUCGUCUGUGCCCUCUUUAGCAUUUCUAGUCUUGGCACAUCCUGUCACCCCUGCCAAGGAACUCGAGUUUCAAUAGGCAUCAGAUUUGCGUGAGGAACUUGUUUAAAAUACUGAAACCAAUCAAGAAACGCAGAGUGGAGUAGGGCCAGAGAAUCUGCAUUUCAGCCAGCUUCCUCCCAUGGUUCCACAGAUCAUGGUUCCCAAAUUACAUUUUCUUUCCUUUAACUUUUUAUUAUGGAAAAUUUCAAAUGUAUAAAAAAUGAAAUAGUAAUAAUGAGCAAUUAUGUUUCAAUACUCAGCUUUAACAAUUAUCAGCUCAAGGCCAAUUUUGUUCCACUCAGAUUAUAUUUUUGAAAAACCUUCACAUCUGGACCCUCUCAACCUUCUUGGUUCCCUUCAUGUGUUUCUAGUCCAUUAAGGCUCAGUUCAUUCUCCUCGAGGGCAAGUUGCAUUCUAUGUCUUGGAAUCUCGAGUACCAACACUGUGCCUGGCAUGUACAGGCACUCAGUAAAUGAAUACAAUAGUACAUUUGAAAAGAACUUUAAAGGAAACCAAAUUAUCAUUUACCUGGAUGGUUUAGAAUAGAGGUAAGCGGGAUUAUCUGAUCACUUGUUUUUUCAGUUCUUUGCCUGUGAUUGCUAAUUCAGUUAAAGAAAUUAAGGCAUCAAAAUGCAUCUCGCCAAGUGAAAGGAUUGGGAAAAAGUUUUCAAAAGUCUAAUUUACAUUCUUUUCCUUCUGGUCUCAACAUUUUAUAAAAGAUUUUGUGUCGGUGGGUGUGUGGUAAGAGAGAAGGUAGGAAAACACCUCUGGGGAAUGAGGAUAUUGUCUCAUAGCCUUUGUUUUACUCUUUAACCUAGUAAUAAAUCUCUUAAAGCUC